CGCACAUUGCGCCCCUUGGUAUUCCGAGGGGCAUGCCUGUUCGAGCGUCAUUAUCACCCCUCAAACUUUCGGUUUGGUGUUGGACUCAGCCAUCUUUACUGAUGUUUGGUCUCAAAGAUAGUGACGGCGUCCUAGAAGGAACCGGUACGAGGAGCUUUUAAUUAGGCAUGUAUCGGCAGGAUUCUACGCGGCGACGGUCUUUUACUUAAAAUUUUUACAAGUGUUGACCUCGGAUCAGGUAGGAAUACCCGCUGAACUUAA
RNAcentral lists this unclassified non-coding RNA (261 nucleotides) under Chaetothyriales sp. Its description in RNAcentral is "partial contains 5.8S ribosomal RNA, internal transcribed spacer 2, and large subunit ribosomal RNA". The record is from RNAcentral. Lineage: Eukaryota; Fungi; Ascomycota; Eurotiomycetes; Chaetothyriales.